AACUCAGGCAAAUCACCUUAAGUUGAGGGUGGCUAUCAUAGGGUGCAUAAUGUGAAGUGGGUAUAAAGAAGGGCAAAAUAAGAGAAAAAGAUAGUAGGGCUGGGUGUGGUAGAAAAAGAAAAAGAAAAUUUUGGAAAAAGAAAAGAAAAAGAAAAAGAAAGAAUAAGAGAAACCACACCGAACCUGAAUGUGCAAUAAAUGAAUAAAAACAGAGAAAUAAGGGUGGAGUGAAAAAAUUGGUUGAUAAGUGGACCCCAACAUAAGUGUAGUGCCAAAGAGGCUUAGACACUAAAUUUUCAUAUAUCGUACCAGCUCCCAAGCAUGCAUUACAAGUCGAGUA
Molecule: long non-coding RNA, 340 nt
Filed under: Capsicum annuum
Lineage: Eukaryota; Viridiplantae; Streptophyta; Magnoliopsida; Solanales; Solanaceae
Description: long non-coding RNA (CANN_LNC011422)
Source: RNAcentral